UAAGAAUGGAAUGGACUUAAUUCUCCACCGUAACUUUCCCACGACAACGGAAACACACUGUGAAUUGUGUAUGCAAUUUUCACUCCAAUAUACGUUGGCAGCCACUCAGCAACACACACAUGCAGAGCUCCCACAUGCGCUGCGUACGUGUACUGUGCAUGCGGAUGUGUGCGAGAAGCCCGCGGAAAAGCACAACAAGAACAACAAUAGAACGGAGAUUAUCAUACGAUACUUGUGAGCACCAAUAAAACGAAUCCACAUGAGCGUUUCACAGAGCAA
Molecule: long non-coding RNA, 279 nt
Organism: Drosophila miranda
Lineage: Eukaryota; Metazoa; Arthropoda; Insecta; Diptera; Drosophilidae
Exons: 2
Source: RefSeq, a predicted model, not a curated record